RNAcentral lists this ribosomal RNA (589 nucleotides) under Candidatus Nomurabacteria bacterium. RNAcentral's name for it is "bacterial LSU rRNA". It matches the Rfam family "Bacterial large subunit ribosomal RNA", at positions 1 to 582 of the family's 2925-position model. Lineage: Bacteria; Candidatus Nomuraibacteriota. The record is from RNAcentral.
AAUUUAAGAGUAUAUGGUGGAUGCCUAGACUAAAAAAGGCGAUGAAAGACGUAGCAUGGCGACGAUAUGCUUCGGGGAGGUGCCUAGCAACCUUCGAUCCGGAGAUUUCUGAAUGGGGAAACCCUUCCGAGCAAACCUCGGAAACUUCUACACUAGAUGUAGUUGUGCAUACCCAGGGAAGUAAAACAUUUCAGUACCUGGUGGAAAAGAAAACGAAGUUUAUUUCCUUAGUAGCGGCGAGCGAAGAGGAAAGAGCCCAAACCGAGUGUCGCAAGACACGAGGGGUUGUAAGAUGGUAAUGUAGAUUUAUCUAGAAGAGUUACAAAAUUUGUUAUUAGAUUAAGUUUCUGGAAAGAAACACCACAGAAGGUGAUAGUCCUGUGAUCGAAAAUAACAGAUCUCUUUGAUUACUAUUCUUGAGUAGCUCAGGACAUGAAUAGCUUGAGCGAAUCCGGGAGAACUAACUCCCAAGGCUAAAUACUUUUUUAGAUCGAUAGUGAACUAGUACCGUGAGGGAAAGGUGAAAAGUACCCCGCUACGGGGAGUGAAAUAGUACCUGAAACCAUGUGCUUACAAGGAGACGGAGCCC